CGACCCCAGGUCAGGCGGGAUCACUCGCUGAGUUUAAGCAUAUCAAUAAGCGGAGGAAAAGAAACUAACAACGAUUCCCUUAGUAACGGCGAGCGAACCGGGAAGAGCCCAACUUGAAAAUCGGACGUCUUUGGCAUUCGAAUUGUAGUAUGGAGUAGCAUCCUCAGCGACGGACCGGGCCCAAGUUCCCUGGAAAGGGGCGCCAGAGAGGGUGAGAGCCCCGUCGUGCCCGGAGCCUGUCGCACCACGAGGCGCUGUCUACGAGUCGGGUUUUUUGGGAAUGCAGCCCCAAUCAGGCGGUAACUUCCAUCCAAGGCUAAAUAUGGGCGAGAGACCGAUAGCGAACAAGUACCGUGAGGUAAAGAUGAAAAGGACUUUGAAAAGAGAGUCAAAGAGUGCUUGAAAUUGUCGGGAGGGAAGCGGAUGGGGGCCGGCGAUUCAUCCCGGUCGGAUGCGGAACAAAGCAAUGGCAGUGGACCGACACGGAUUAAUGUGGUAACCUAAGCCUGGGCUUUUGUUACGGCCACGGAGACGUCGCUGCCUUAAUCGUGGUCUGCAGCACACGCCUCACGGUGUGCCUUGCCAUCUGCGUGCU
This 595-nucleotide non-coding RNA is filed under the name Brassica napus (rape). RNAcentral's name for it is "Eukaryotic large subunit ribosomal RNA". It matches the Rfam family "Eukaryotic large subunit ribosomal RNA", at positions 1 to 601 of the family's 3401-position model. The record is from Rfam by way of RNAcentral. Lineage: Eukaryota; Viridiplantae; Streptophyta; Magnoliopsida; Brassicales; Brassicaceae.